Molecule: ribosomal RNA, 447 nt
Filed under: uncultured bacterium
Lineage: Bacteria
Description: bacterial SSU rRNA
Rfam family: Bacterial small subunit ribosomal RNA
Source: RNAcentral
UCCCAGACUCCUACGGGAGGCAGCAGUGGGGAAUAUUGCACAGUGGGGGAAACCCUGAUGCAGCGACGCCGCGUGAGUGAAGAAGUAUUUCGGUAUGUAAAGCUCUAUCAGCAGGAACGAGACAAGACGGUACCUGACUAAGAAGCCCCGGCUAACUACGUGCCAGCAGCCGCGGUAAUACGUAGGGGGCAAGCGUUAUCCGGAAUCACUGGGUGUAAAGGGAGCGUAGACGGCUGUGCAAGCCUGAAGUGAAAGGCGGGGGCCCAACCCCUGGACUGCUUUGGGAACUGUACGGCUGGAGUGCAGGAGAGGUAAGUGGAAUUCCUAGUGUAGCGGUGAAAUGCGUAGAUAUUAGGAGGAACACCAGUGGCGAAGGCGGCUUACUGGACUGUAACUGACGUUGAGGCUCGAAAGCGUGGGGAGCAAACAGGAUUAGAUACCCGAGUA